CGACGAGUGGCGGACGGGUGAGUAAUACUUAGGAAUCUGCCCAGUAGUGGGGGACAACUCGGGGAAACUCGAGCUAAUACCGCAUACGCCCUAAGGGGGAAAGCGGGGGAUCUUCGGACCUCGCGCUAUUGGAUGAGCCUAAGUCGGAUUAGCUUGUAGGUAGGGUAACGGCCUACCUAGGCAACGAUCCGUAGCUGGUCUGAGAGGACGAUCAGCCACACUGGGACUGAGACACGGCCCAG
This 242-nucleotide ribosomal RNA is filed under the name uncultured bacterium. RNAcentral describes it as "partial 16S ribosomal RNA". It matches the Rfam family "Bacterial small subunit ribosomal RNA", at positions 89 to 334 of the family's 1533-position model. The record is from RNAcentral.